GCACCGGUAGCUCAGCUGGAUAGAGUACAUGGCUACGAACCAUGAGGUCAGAGGUUCGAAUCCUCUCCGGUGCG
Molecule: transfer RNA, 74 nt
Filed under: Rhabdochlamydiaceae bacterium
Lineage: Bacteria; Pseudomonadati; Chlamydiota; Chlamydiia; Parachlamydiales; Candidatus Rhabdochlamydiaceae
Also listed under: 1 other name
Description: tRNA-Arg
Rfam family: tRNA
About the family: Transfer RNA (tRNA) molecules are approximately 80 nucleotides in length. Their secondary structure includes four short double-helical elements and three loops (D, anti-codon, and T loops).
Source: RNAcentral